GUUAUCGUGCGAUAAGACCAUUUCAGAGACCUUUGCUUACAAACAGACACACAGUUUUCCGUAUCCAAUGUAGUGCAGAGCUCGCUAAAGUUGAAAAUUAGCAUCGUGGAGGAAGAUCCAUUGUUCCAAUGGAACUCGGUUCAUCUUCCUUGGACGAAUCGUAGCCCGGAUUUGAACCAUAUCGAGCAUAUAUGGAACACUAUUGGGCGGAACGUGCGCGAAAGGAAACCCCAG
Molecule: long non-coding RNA, 234 nt
Filed under: Mytilus galloprovincialis (Mediterranean mussel)
Lineage: Eukaryota; Metazoa; Mollusca; Bivalvia; Mytilida; Mytilidae
Source: RNAcentral